Rhagoletis zephyria (snowberry fruit fly) is the source of this 108-nucleotide long non-coding RNA. RefSeq lists it as uncharacterized. The record is from RefSeq and is a predicted model, not a curated record. Lineage: Eukaryota; Metazoa; Arthropoda; Insecta; Diptera; Tephritidae.
CCAUGUUAAAAAUACCAGUUGACUGCAUGGAAAAAAGAUAGUUGGCUGACUAGUUGGGCAUGCGACUCAUACUAGUUGUGGGGUAGUUUACAACGAGUUCAUUUGUCU